UGCCAGCCGCCGCGGUAAUACAGAGACUGCAAGCGUUAUUCGGAUUCACUGGGCGUAAAGGGUGCGCAGGCGGUUGGGUGUGUCAGAUGUGAAAUCUCGAGGCUCAACCUCGGAACUGCGUCUGAAACUACUCGACUAGAGUAUUGGAGAGGGUAACGGAAUUCACGGUGUAGCAGUGAAAUGCGUAGAUAUCGUGAGGAACACCAGAGGCGAAGGCGGUUACCUGGACAAUUACUGACGCUCAGGCACGAAAGCGUGGGGAGCAAAAGGGAUUAGAUA
This 279-nucleotide ribosomal RNA is filed under the name uncultured bacterium. RNAcentral describes it as "partial 16S ribosomal RNA". It matches the Rfam family "Bacterial small subunit ribosomal RNA", at positions 506 to 784 of the family's 1533-position model. The record is from RNAcentral.